ACGCUGGCGGCAGGCCUAACACAUGCAAGUCGAGCGGUAGCACAGGAGAGCUUGCUCUCUGGGUGACGAGCGGCGGACGGGUGAGUAAUGUCUGGGAAACUGCCUGAUGGAGGGGGAUAACUACUGGAAACGGUAGCUAAUACCGCAUGACCUCGCAAGAGCAAAGUGGGGGACCUUCGGGCCUCACGCCAUCGGAUGUGCCCAGAUGGGAUUAGCUAGUAGGUGGGGUAAUGGCUCACCUAGGCGACGAUCCCUAGCUGGUCUGAGAGGAUGACCAGCCACACUGGAACAGAGACACGGUCCAGACUCCUACGGGAGGCAGCAGUGGGGAAUAUUGCACAAUGGGCGCAAGCCUGAUGCAGCCAUGCCGCGUGUGUGAAGAAGGCCUUAGGGUUGUAAAGCACUUUCAGCGAGGAGGAAGGCGUUGCAGUUAAUAGCUGCAGCGAUUGACGUUACUCGCAGAAGAAGCACCGGCUAACUCCGUGCCAGCAGCCGCGGUAAUACGGAGGGUGCAAGCGUUAAUCGGAAUUACUGGGCGUAAAGCGCACGCAGGCGGUUUGUUAAGUCAGAUGUGAAAUCCCCGAGCUUAACUUGGGAACUGCAUUUGAAACUGGCAAGCUAGAGUCUUGUAGAGGGGGGUAGAAUUCCAGGUGUUGCGGUGAAAUGCGUAGAGAUCUGGAGGAAUACCGGUGGCGAAGGCGGCCCCCUGGACAAAGACUGACGCUCAGGUGCGAAAGCGUGGGGAGCAAAC
This 751-nucleotide ribosomal RNA is filed under the name uncultured bacterium. Its description in RNAcentral is "bacterial SSU rRNA". It matches the Rfam family "Bacterial small subunit ribosomal RNA", at positions 33 to 773 of the family's 1533-position model. The record is from RNAcentral.